RNAcentral lists this non-coding RNA (24 nucleotides) under Arabidopsis thaliana (thale cress). The record is from RNAcentral. Lineage: Eukaryota; Viridiplantae; Streptophyta; Magnoliopsida; Brassicales; Brassicaceae.
AUCUCAUUCGGAUGAUCCAGUCAA